AGUGCACAUCAUUGUACCUACCAUGCUAUUAUUGGUUGAGAUAGAUUCUUAGGAACUUUUUACCCAGGUUGGCAGCUAACUCGAUCCUUCUUCUUUCCACCUGAUUAGUAACUAGGAUUCUGAGUGUGAGUUGCCAGCAUCUGGCAUCUGGGUUUUAAGUGAUUUGUAUCGAGAAUUCCAAAGUAGAGAGAGCCGAAGAAAUUAGAGAACCAGGUAUGAGUAGUUGGAGAUUAAGGCUGGAAAUGAUGGAUAUGUACUUUAGCUUGACUUAAAACUGAGGAUGAAUUACAGUCUUAAGAUCCACACACUCUUCCUUUAGAAUCCAAUGCUAGAAAUCUGCUGUGUCUGCUUUUACAAUAUAUUGUAAAGGUACUGGGAAUAUUUUUGGAGAUAGGCCUUUGGAAAAUGUAUUUAAGAACUAGUAACUUCUCCAUGAUGUGGGAUGAACCCAUAGUUGGGUGGAGAGCAUUACUAGAAUAGGUAGGAUGGGUUGAUAUACUUUAAGAUAAAAUUGUGUCUUUUAUAAAGCACACAUGGGAACUGUGUCUCCUUGACAUUUUUUAAAGCAUUUCUCAGAAAAUGUGAAAGUAGAGAAAUACUCUUAACCACUAAACAUUGUCAGAACACAGAUGUUCUGAGUAUGCACUGAGAGAACUAGAGGGCUUUAAAUGUUUUUUUCAUUAUUUGAAAGUUUACAUAUGAAUGUGUUUAUGUUAUGGUUACAUAAUAUUACAUGUAAUUGAACUUUGUUUCCUACUGUGAGAAAUAUUUACUAGGUUCCAGUGUGCAUACUUUAAGCCCUAAAAAUUAAUGCCUAAUUUGAAUUUUAUUAUUUUAAAAGUACCUUUGACGUGAUCUUACAAUCAAUUAUAGCAAGAUAAUAUGUAUCAAUAUAUCAAAAAAAGGUCAUUGUUUUCCACCCGAGAGCACUUAUAUUUAAGCCAUUUUCUGUUGUGUCCAUCUCAUUUGUGGUCUUUCCACUAUAAAAUAAAAAUAAAAAGGGAUUUCUCUAAAAUGCAGUUUUUGAGAAUCUCCUUGAGUAUAUAGAGAACAUUUUUAUAAUGCUUUUGAAUCGACAAGAGAAACACUGGAAAUGUUGAUGGCAGCAGCUGUUACAGAAACUUAUGUCUACAAAGUAAAAAGUUAAAAAUUUAGCAGAUAUAUGACUUUCAAAUGUGUUGUGUGUAUAAUCUUUGGACUGUCUUCGGAGUACAAUGUAUAAUAUAAUUCUAACCCUGUACAGUUGCUAUUAAUUUUGUUUUAAACCUGAAAGUGUUAACAGCAACUUGAAAAUGUGACAAAGCUCAAUUUCUUUUUCUUUUUCUUUCUUUUUUUUUUUUUGUUUAUUACUUGUUUUCCUAUUGGACAAUUGAAAGUAGCUCUAACCCGGCAACUAAAAUAGGCUAUUUGCAUAACCUAGUUUGAUUGGCUAACAUUCUGACUAACAGUUCCAAUCAUGUGGUGCGGGUUUAGUGGUAGGCUAUGCUAAUUAGCCGCUGUUGCUGGGUUGGGAUAGUUUCUGUGUGCUGUUCUGCUGCAUUGUGCUGCCUAGCUAGAGACAUUGAUGGAUGAGAGUUUAAUGAUCUGCAGCAGUUCCCACUCACUGCGGGCAGGCGGAUUUUAGAACAGAAGUGGAAACAAGGGUUUAACUGCUAUGUUAAAUAUCUGUAACCAAAAUAUGCGUAUUAAAUUAUAGAAAUUAAGAGUUGUAAGAAAUCAUUAAUUAAGUAGCAUGUAACAUAAGACACUUGAUUUGCCUUUUAAGAUGUAACUCAAAUAACACAGGUUUUCUAAAACCAUUCAGCAAAAUUGAUCAUUUAUUCCAAAUUAGGAAAAUUAGUACUACUGCC
This is a long non-coding RNA of Perognathus longimembris pacificus (Pacific pocket mouse), 1850 nucleotides long. RefSeq lists it as uncharacterized. NCBI's taxonomy places the organism in Eukaryota, Metazoa, Chordata, Mammalia, Rodentia, Heteromyidae. The transcript has 2 exons. The record is from RefSeq and is a predicted model, not a curated record.